GUAUCUUGACUGUGCAAAGGUAGCAUAAUCACUUGCUUCUUAAUUAGGAGCUGGAAUGAAAGAGGCGACGAAAUCUAGACUAUUUAAGUUUUAAUAUAAAUUGACAGGCGGGUCAAAAGGCCCGCAUACACCAGGGGGACGAUAAGACCCUAUAAAACUUUACUUUCGGGCCGACGCCCUGCGGGAGGGAGAGUGUCUGAGAGUUUGACUGGGGCGGUUAUUAUAGAAACAAUUAUAGAUAAAAUAUAUUAUAUAGACGGGUAGAACUCUCUAGAGAAAUAGAACAAGUUACUUUAGGGAUAACAGCGCGAUCCCCUCAG
RNAcentral lists this ribosomal RNA (320 nucleotides) under Proasellus walteri. Its description in RNAcentral is "partial 16S ribosomal RNA". It matches the Rfam family "Bacterial large subunit ribosomal RNA", at positions 1936 to 2494 of the family's 2925-position model. The record is from RNAcentral. Lineage: Eukaryota; Metazoa; Arthropoda; Malacostraca; Isopoda; Asellidae.